UACGGAGGUUCCAAGCGUUGUUCGGAAUUACUGGGCGUAAAGGGAGCGUAGGCGGACAGGUCAGUCUGAAGUGGAAUUCCGGGGCUCAACUUCGGACUUGCUUCGGAUACUACCUGUCUUGAGUUCGCGAUAGGAAGAUGGAAUUCAGGGUGUAGCGGUGAAAUGCACAGAUAUCCUGAGGAACACCGGUGGCGAAAGCGGUCUUCUGGCGCGAAACUGACGCUGAGGCUCGAAAGCGUGGGUAGCAAACGGG
Molecule: ribosomal RNA, 253 nt
Filed under: uncultured bacterium
Lineage: Bacteria
Description: partial 16S ribosomal RNA
Rfam family: Bacterial small subunit ribosomal RNA
Source: RNAcentral